AGCGAACGCUGGCGGCAGGCCUAACACAUGCAAGUCGAACGAACCUUUCGGGGUUAGUAGCGGACGGGUGAGUAACACGUGGGAACGUGCCUUUAGGUUCGGAAUAACUCAGGGAAACUUGUGCUAAUACCGAAUGUGCCCUUCGGGGGAAAGAUUUAUCGCCUUUAGAGCGGCCCGCGUCUGAUUAGCUAGUUGGUUGAGGUAAUGGCUCACCAAGGCGACGAUCAGUAGCUGGUCUGAGAGGAUGAUCAGCCACAUUGGGACUGAGACACGGCCCAAACUCCUACGGGAGGCAGCAGUGGGGAAUCUUGCGCAAUGGGCGAAAGCCUGACGCAGCCAUGCCGCGUGAAUGAUGAAGGUCUUAGGAUUGUAAAAUUCUUUCACCGGGGACGAUAAUGACGGUACCCGGAGAAGAAGCCCCGGCUAACUUCGUG
Molecule: ribosomal RNA, 434 nt
Filed under: uncultured bacterium
Lineage: Bacteria
Description: partial 16S ribosomal RNA
Rfam family: Bacterial small subunit ribosomal RNA
Source: RNAcentral